RNAcentral lists this ribosomal RNA (468 nucleotides) under uncultured bacterium. RNAcentral's name for it is "partial 16S ribosomal RNA". It matches the Rfam family "Bacterial small subunit ribosomal RNA", at positions 28 to 507 of the family's 1533-position model. The record is from RNAcentral.
GACGAACGCUGGCGGCGUGCUUAACACAUGCAAGUCGAACGGAAAGGCCCUGCUUUUGUGGGGUGCUCGAGUGGCGAACGGGUGAGUAACACGUGAGUAACCUGCCCUUGACUUUGGGAUAACUUCAGGAAACUGGGGCUAAUACCGGAUAGGAGCUCCUGCUGCAUGGUGGGGGUUGGAAAGUUUCGGCGGUUGGGGAUGGACUCGCGGCUUAUCAGCUUGUUGGUGGGGUAGUGGCUUACCAAGGCUUUGACGGGUAGCCGGCCUGAGAGGGUGACCGGCCACAUUGGGACUGAGAUGCGGCCCAGACUCCUACGGGAGGCAGCAGUGGGGUAUUUUGCACAAUGGGCGGAAGCCUGAUGCAGCAACGCCGCGUGCGGGAUGGCGGCCUUCGGGUUGUAAACCGCUUUCGCCUGUGACGAAGCGUGAGUGACGGUAAUGGGUAAAGAAGCACCGGCUAACUACGUG